This 492-nucleotide ribosomal RNA is filed under the name uncultured bacterium. Its description in RNAcentral is "partial 16S ribosomal RNA". It matches the Rfam family "Bacterial small subunit ribosomal RNA", at positions 29 to 507 of the family's 1533-position model. The record is from RNAcentral.
AGUGAACGCUGGCGGUAGGCCUAACACAUGCAAGUCGAACGGCAGCACAGUAAGAGCUUGCUCUUACGGGUGGCGAGUGGCGGACGGGUGAGGAAUACAUCGGAAUCUACUUUUUCGUGGGGGAUAACGUAGGGAAACUUACGCUAAUACCGCAUACGACCUACGGGUGAAAGCAGGUGAUCUUCGGACCUUGCGCGAUUGAAUGAGCCGAUGUCGGAUUAGCUAGUUGGCGGGGUAAAGGCCCACCAAGGCGACGAUCCGUAGCUGGUCUGAGAGGAUGAUCAGCCACACUGGAACUGAGACACGGUCCAGACUCCUACGGGAGGCAGCAGUGGGGAAUAUUGGACAAAGGGCGCAAGCCUGAUCCAGCCAUACCGCGUGGGUGAAGAAGGACUUCGGGUUGUAAAGCCCUUUUGUUGGGAAAGAAAAGCAGCAGGUUAAUACCCCGCUGUUCUGACGGUACCCAAAGAAUAAGCACCGGCUAACUUCGUG